UACGUAGGUGGCGAGCGUUGUCCGGAAUUACUGGGUGUAAAGGGCGUGUAGGCGGGAUUGCAAGUCAGAUGUGAAAUUCCGGGGCUUAACCUCGGCGCUGCAUCUGAAACUGUAAUUCUUGAGUGCUGGAGAGGAUAGUGGUAUUCCUAGUGUAGCGGUGAAAUGCGUAGAUAUUAGGAGGAACACCAGUGGCGAAGGCGACUAUCUGGACAGUAACUGACGCUGAGGCGCGAAAGCGUGGGGAGCAAACAGG
Molecule: ribosomal RNA, 253 nt
Filed under: uncultured prokaryote
Also listed under: 1 other name
Description: partial 16S ribosomal RNA
Rfam family: Bacterial small subunit ribosomal RNA
Source: RNAcentral